Molecule: ribosomal RNA, 500 nt
Filed under: uncultured bacterium
Lineage: Bacteria
Description: partial 16S ribosomal RNA
Rfam family: Bacterial small subunit ribosomal RNA
Source: RNAcentral
AUUGAACGCUGGCGGCAUGCCUUACACAUGCAAGUCGAACGGCAGCACGGGAGCAAUCCUGGUGGCGAGUGGCGAACGGGUGAGUAAUGUAUCGGAACGUGCCCAGUCGUGGGGGAUAACGCAGCGAAAGCUGUGCUAAUACCGCAUACGAUCUAUGGAUGAAAGCGGGGGAUCGCAAGACCUCGCGCGAUUGGAGUGGCCGAUAUCAGAUUAGCUAGUUGGUGGGGUAAAGGCUCACCAAGGCGACGAUCUGUAGCUGGUCUGAGAGGACGACCAGCCACACUGGAGCGGAGACCCGGUCAAGACUCCUACGGGAGGCAGCAGUGGGGAAUUUUGGACAAUGGGCGCAAGCCUGAUCCAGCAAUGCCGCGUGCAGGAUGAAGGCCUUCGGGUUGUAAACUGCUUUUGUACGGAGCGAAAAGGCUCUCUCUAAUACAGGGGGCUCAUGACGGUACCGUAAGAAUAAGCACCGGCUAACUACGUGCCAGCAGCCGCCGUAA